Molecule: ribosomal RNA, 506 nt
Filed under: uncultured bacterium
Lineage: Bacteria
Description: bacterial SSU rRNA
Rfam family: Bacterial small subunit ribosomal RNA
Source: RNAcentral
GACGAACGCUGGCGGCGUGGAUUAGGCAUGCAAGUCGGACGGUAGGGCUUUAUCGUAAGAUAGAGUUUGAGAGUGGCGAACGGGUGAGUAACACGUAGGAAUCUACCCUUAAGACGGGGACAACCCAGGGAAACUUGGGCUAAUACCGGAUGAGAGUGCGAGAGAUUGCAUUUAAAAGGAUGGCGAAAGUUGUCGCUUAGGGAUGAGCCUGCGGUCUAUUAGUUAGUUGGUGAGGUAAGAGCUCACCAAGGCGAUGAUAGAUAGGCGGCCUUAACGGGUGGUCGCCCACACUGGGAUUGAGAUACGGCCCAGACUCCUACGGGAGGCAGCAGUCGAGAAUAGUCUACAAUGGCCGGAAGGCUGAUAGUGCGACGCCGCGUGAACGAGGGAGCCCUUCGGGGUGGUAAAGUUCUUUUCUAUUACGAGCAGUGCUAUAUAUAUGGAUAGUAUAUAUAGAGGGAUAGUAGUAUAGGAAUAAGCAACGGCUAACUCCGUGCCAGCAGCCG